AGGAUGGGACUGCGACUGAUCAGGCUGUUGGCGGGGUAAUGGCCCACCAAACCAGUAACCAGUACGGGCCUUGAGAGAGGGGGCCCGGAGAUGGACACUGAGAGAAGGGUCCAGGUCCUACGGGGCGCAGCAGGCGCGAAACCUUCGCAAUGCGCGAAAGCGUGACGAGGUUAAUCCGAGUGGUUCCCGCUGAGGGAAUCUUUUGUCGGCUGUAAAAAGGCCGGCGAAUAAGGGGAGGGCAAGUCUGGUGUCAGCCGCCGCGGUAAUACCAGCUCCUCGAGUGGUCGGGGCGAUUAUUGGGCCUAAAGCAUCCGUAGCCGGUUCCGUAGGUCCUCUGUUAAAUCCAACGGCUUAACCGUUGGCCCGCAGAGGAUACCGCGGGACUAGGGGGCGGGAGAGGCAGGCGGUACUCUACGUGUAGGGGUAAAAUCCUUUGAUCCGUAGAAGACCACCAGUGGCGAAGGCGGCCUGCCAGAACGCGCUCGACGGUGAGGGAUGAAAGCUGGGGGAGCGAACCGGAUUAGAUACCCGGGUAGUCCCAGCCGUAAACGAUGCGAGCUAGAUGAUUCGGUCGCAAAUCGCGAUCGAAGUGUCGCAGGGAAGCCGUUAAGCUCGCCGCCUGGGGAGUACGGUCGCAAGACUGAAACUUAAAGGAAUUGGCG
Molecule: ribosomal RNA, 662 nt
Filed under: uncultured crenarchaeote
Lineage: Archaea; Thermoproteati; Thermoproteota
Description: bacterial SSU rRNA
Rfam family: Archaeal small subunit ribosomal RNA
Source: RNAcentral